This 506-nucleotide ribosomal RNA is filed under the name uncultured bacterium. RNAcentral's name for it is "partial 16S ribosomal RNA". It matches the Rfam family "Bacterial small subunit ribosomal RNA", at positions 29 to 523 of the family's 1533-position model. The record is from RNAcentral.
AGUGAACGCUGGCGGUAGGCCUAACACAUGCAAGUCGAACGGCAGCACAGGAGAGCUUGCUCUCUGGGUGGCGAGUGGCGGACGGGUGAGGAAUACAUCGGAAUCUACUCUGUCGUGGGGGAUAACGUAGGGAAACUUACGCUAAUACCGCAUACGACCUACGGGUGAAAGCAGGGGACCUUCGGGCCUUGCGCGAUUGAAUGAGCCGAUGUCGGGUUAGCUAGUUGGCGGGGUAAAGGCCCACCAAGGCGACGAUCCGUAGCUGGUCUGAGAGGAUGAUCAGCCACACUGGAACUGAGACACGGUCCAGACUCCUACGGGAGGCAGCAGUGGGGAAUAUUGGACAAUGGGCGCAAGCCUGAUCCAGCCAUACCGCGUGGGUAAAGAAGGCCUUCGGGUUGUAAAGCCCUUUUGUUGGGAAAGAAAUCCAGCUGGCUAAUACCCGGUUGGGAUGACGGUACCCAAAGAAUAAGCACCGGCUAACUUCGUGCCAGCCGCCGCGGUAA